Molecule: long non-coding RNA, 484 nt
Organism: Boleophthalmus pectinirostris (great blue-spotted mudskipper)
Lineage: Eukaryota; Metazoa; Chordata; Actinopteri; Gobiiformes; Gobiidae
Exons: 5
Source: RefSeq, a predicted model, not a curated record
GAGUUGAUUUAUUCAUUUCUACAGCGCAAGAUUCACAAAAAUGUUUGGCCCACUACGAGCUGACCCCUAACAUGGUCUGGUUUGGUCUCCAUAAUAACAGAAAGGUGUAAUACCAUACUGUGAAACAUUCAAGACACAAUAACGUCUCCAUGGAAAAAAGCACUUGACGAUCUAUAAGGACUUGAAUGGCUGGACACCUGGGACCCUGUGAAUAUAAUACAGGAGAUCUCUCUGGAGGAUUCUGGCAGCAGUUCUCACAUAACUCUACCACCGUAUUCAAAGCUGUCACUGGUCCAGACUCCUGUUGGAUAACUGAAGCUGUGCGUGGAAACAGUCUUUGUCUUCUGAGCAGGUUUUAUUAGAAAUCUUGUGUGCAAGUCAUCUACAUCCUCUGCGGUCUGCCCCUCCCUCUGCUCCACUCUGUACUGUACAAGUGCAAUCUGAGCAUGAUAAAUGAACUGGAAAAAGGGGCACAGCUCUGUCC